This 475-nucleotide ribosomal RNA is filed under the name unidentified nematode Sourhope farm. Its description in RNAcentral is "SSU rRNA". It matches the Rfam family "Eukaryotic small subunit ribosomal RNA", at positions 59 to 530 of the family's 1831-position model. The record is from RNAcentral. Lineage: Eukaryota; Metazoa; Nematoda.
UUAAGUAUAACCUGCCAGACAGGGAAACUGCGUACGGCUCAUUACACCAGCCUUAAUUUACUUGACCUUGACAACCUACUUGGAUAACUGUGGUAAUUCUAGAGCUAAUACAUGCACCAAAGCUCCGAUCCUCGCGGAGAGGAGCGCAUUUGUUCGCCACAAAACCAAGCGCCCAUCUGGGCGUCCAGUGCUGAACCAGAACAACUCAGCUGAUCGCACGGUCUUGUACCGGCGACGUGUCUUUCAAGUGUCUGCCUUAUCAACUUUCGAUGGUAGUGUACCUGACUACCAUGGUUGUGACGGGUAACGGAGGAUAAGGGUUCGACUCCGGAGAAGGGGCCUGAGAAAUGGCCACUACGUCUAAGGAUGGCAGCAGGCGCGCAAAUUACCCACUCUCAACGCGAGGAGGUAGUGACGAGAAAUAACGAGACCGUUCUCAUACGAGGCCGGUUAUUGGAAUGGGUACAAUUUAAAC